CGGGGAGGUUUGGCACCUCGAUGUCGGCUCAUCGCAUCCUGGGGCUGUAGUCGGUCCCAAGGGUUGGGCUGUUCGCCCAUUAAAGCGGUACGCGAGCUGGGUUCAGAACGUCGUGAGACAGUUCGGUCCCUAUCCGUCGUGGGCGUAGGAAAUUUGAGAGGAGCUGUCCUUAGUACGAGAGGACCGGGAUGGACAUACCUCUGGUGUACCAGUUGUCGUGCCAACGGCAUAGCUGGGUAGCUAUGUGUGGACGGGAUAAGUGCUGAAAGCAUCUAAGCAUGAAGCCCCCCUCAAGAUGAGAUUUCCCAACUUCGGUUAUAAGAUCCCUCAAAGAUGAUGAGGUUAAUAGGUUCGAGGUGGAAGCAUGGUGACAUGUGGAGCUGACGAAUACUAAUCGAUCGAAGACUUAAU
This 411-nucleotide ribosomal RNA is filed under the name Staphylococcus aureus. RNAcentral describes it as "partial 23S ribosomal RNA". It matches the Rfam family "Bacterial large subunit ribosomal RNA", at positions 2509 to 2925 of the family's 2925-position model. Lineage: Bacteria; Bacillati; Bacillota; Bacilli; Caryophanales; Staphylococcaceae. The record is from RNAcentral.